AUUCAUUCUGCAACAUCAAACUCAAAGAAUAAAUACAAACAGUAUCUUAAGAGUUGGAAUUUCUUUUAGAACGCUCUUGAUUCGAUCAGCCUACAACUAAAAUUGCAAAAAUAACACUAGGCCUUGUUUAAUGAGUAAGAACAGAAUCAAGCUUCUAGUUGCAUUACAGUAACUAGCAUUACCCAAUUGGAAAUAGAGACGGAAAUUAAUUGUCUACUAAUCAAACUUUUAAGAUAUGGAAUGAGGUAAAGGAGAUGCUUUCUAUUCUUUCUUCCUGGAAUCCUUCAGCUGCCCUCUCCUUCGAAUUCCAAUGCAGAAGUUCAGACGCCAAGCAUCAACCAUCGACUCUGGCAAUGAACAUAGAACACCCCACAGAAGAGAAUGGGGCCAGUAAGGU
RNAcentral lists this unclassified non-coding RNA (397 nucleotides) under Hevea brasiliensis (rubber tree). Lineage: Eukaryota; Viridiplantae; Streptophyta; Magnoliopsida; Malpighiales; Euphorbiaceae. The record is from RNAcentral.